AACGGCCGUACCAUGCUGAAUAUACCGGUUCUCGUUAGAUCACCGAAGUCAAGCAUCAUUGGGCGCGGUCAGUACUUGGGUGGGUGACCACCUGGGAACACUGCGUGCCGU
Molecule: ribosomal RNA, 111 nt
Filed under: Caerostris darwini
Lineage: Eukaryota; Metazoa; Arthropoda; Arachnida; Araneae; Araneidae
Source: RNAcentral